RNAcentral lists this ribosomal RNA (374 nucleotides) under uncultured eukaryote. RNAcentral's name for it is "partial 18S ribosomal RNA". It matches the Rfam family "Eukaryotic small subunit ribosomal RNA", at positions 592 to 976 of the family's 1831-position model. The record is from RNAcentral.
UAAUAGUGUAUAUUAAAGUUGUUGCAGUUAAAAAGCUCGUAGUUGAAUGUUGGUGUCGAACGAGCGGUCAGCUUCGGCUGUACUGCUCUCUCGACUCCUUCCUUCUGUGGACUACGUCGCACUUUACUGUGUGGCGCUAGGACGCAGAUCGUUUACUGGGAAAAAAUUAGAGUGUUCAAAGCAGGCCGUACGCUUGAAUACAUUAGCAUGGAAUAAUGGAAUAGGACGUCGGGCCUAUUUUGUUGGUUCUAGGACCGUCGUAAUGAUUAAUAGGGACAGUUGGGGCCGUUUAUAUUCCGUAGUCAGAGGUGAAAUUCUUGGAUUUACGGAAGAUAAACUACUGCGAAAGCAUUCGGCAAGGAUGUUUUCGUUAA